RNAcentral lists this ribosomal RNA (440 nucleotides) under uncultured bacterium. RNAcentral describes it as "partial 16S ribosomal RNA". It matches the Rfam family "Bacterial small subunit ribosomal RNA", at positions 338 to 795 of the family's 1533-position model. The record is from RNAcentral.
CCUACGGGAGGCUGCAGUGGGGGAUAUUGCACAAUGUGGGGAACCCUGAUGCAGCGACGCCGCGUGGGUGAAGGAGCGUUUCGGCGCGUAAAGCCCUAUCGGCAGGGAAGAAGAUGACGGUACCUGACCAAGAAGCACAGGCUAACUACGUGCCAGCAGCCGCGGUAAUACGUAGGGGGCAAGCGGUAUCCGGAUUUACUGGGUGUAAAGGGGCCGCAGACGGCAAUGCAAGCCAGGAGUGAAAGCCCGGGGCCCAACCCCGGGACUGCUCUUGGAACUGCAUGGCUGGAGUACAGGAGUGGCAGGCGGAAUUCCUAGUGGAGCGGUUAAAGGCGUAGAUAUGAGGAGGAACACCGGGGGCGAAGGCGGCCUUCUGGACUGUGACUGACGUUGAGGCCCGAAGGCGUGGGGAGCAAACAGGAUUAGAUACCCUGGUAGUC